GCCCGGUUAGCUCAAUUGGCAGAGCGUGGGACUGUACGUGCUGUCUGAUUGGUUGUUUUCUCGAAACCAUGCUAACUCAUACCCGUAGUUUAAGCCUGAAAAUCCCAAGGUUGCGAGUUCGAUCCUCGCAUCGGGCG
Molecule: transfer RNA, 137 nt
Filed under: Rasamsonia emersonii
Lineage: Eukaryota; Fungi; Ascomycota; Eurotiomycetes; Eurotiales; Trichocomaceae
Also listed under: 1 other name
Description: tRNA-Tyr
Rfam family: tRNA
About the family: Transfer RNA (tRNA) molecules are approximately 80 nucleotides in length. Their secondary structure includes four short double-helical elements and three loops (D, anti-codon, and T loops).
Source: RNAcentral